GGGUGCCCCCUCUGAUCCCCCCCGGGCUGGACAAGAAGGCGGCGAAGAAGAUGAAGAAGAGGAUGAAGAAGGCUCAAAAGAGGCACAAGCACUCUUUGUCUUCCUCCUCUUCCUCCUCCUCCUCCUCCAGCAGCGACUCCGACUGAUGGCGCUGCCACCCAUGUCCUGGGGCCACCUGGGGGCCACCCGUGUCCUCCUGUGACCCCCCCACAUGCUGUGACCACCUGUGGAACCGUCCAUGAGCACCUCCUGGAGUCCCAGGACCACCCAAGACCACCCGUGACCACCUGGAACCCACGACCACCUGGGACCAUCCGUGACCACCCCAUGUCCAUGUAGGAUCUCCUGAAGUCACUCAUGACCACCCCAUAUCUGCGACCUCCUGGGACCCCCCCCCAUGACCCUCACGACCACCUGGAACCGUCUGGAACCACUCAUGAUGAACAUCACCGUGUGACCCGUGAUGAUCCACGACCACCAGGAACUGUCUGGGACCACCCCAACCACCCCAUAUCCAUGUAGGACCUCCUGGGACCACCCCAUAUCCACCACUGACCACCUUGGAACCCCCCCGUGCCCAUGGGGUGUCCCCAUGUUCCUUCACCCCACGGGCCGUGUGGGUGCUGAGGGGAUGUUUUGGGUUCAGUGGGUGUCAGCGUAUUAUGGGGUGAUCCCAUUGGGUUCUGUAGGGUCCCAUUGGGUUCUGUAAUGGUUCUGCAGUGCUGUGGGUCUGGUGGAUUCCGUGGUGUCACACCUGCCGGGGUUGCUGCUGCCGCCUCCCAAUAAAGCCCUCAGACCCCCCCA
Molecule: non-coding RNA, 804 nt
Organism: Meleagris gallopavo (turkey)
Lineage: Eukaryota; Metazoa; Chordata; Aves; Galliformes; Phasianidae
Source: RefSeq, a predicted model, not a curated record